This 2603-nucleotide long non-coding RNA is filed under the name Equus caballus (horse). RNAcentral's name for it is "lncRNA (ENSECAG00000047579.1)". Lineage: Eukaryota; Metazoa; Chordata; Mammalia; Perissodactyla; Equidae. The record is from RNAcentral.
UCCUUCCUUCCUUCACUAGAAUCUCUUUCCAGGAGCCAAAUAAGAAAAGCAGUCAUAAAACAUGAGGCAGAAAGGCAAAGCCCAGAGAGAACAAGUCGGUGUCUCCUUCGCAGCAUUACUGGCUCUCCGGGGAAGACGGGGCAGAGCCGCUUACAACUGUUAGCCUGGGAUGCAUUUUGGUUACCUUUGUCUCACGGACUUUUGGGGAGUGAACUCUCUGCUUUCAAAAUCCACAGGGUAGGGGCCGGCCUGGUGGCGCAGUGGUUAAGCUGAUGUGCUCCGCUUCAGCAGCUUGGGGUUUGCAGGUUUGGAUCCUGGGCACGGACCUACACACCACUCAUCAAGCCAUACUGUGGUGGCAUCCCACAUACAAAAUAGAGGAGGAUGGGCACAGAUGUUAGCUCACGGACAAUCUUCCUCACCAAAAAAAAAAAAAAAAAUCCACAGGGUAGACACACUCUGUGUGUCCCUCCUCUCUAUCUUUCCUUUGGGAGGGAGACUAGAAUCUAGAGUCGAGAACUGAGACAACUGGAUGUCACAGAAUGGGCAAGAGCAUCCUCUUGGAAAGCUGAGGCUGCACAGAAGUAGAACUUGAUUUCAGGGCUUCAGAGGAUAAGGGCACGUGGCUCUAAUGUUCAUCACCAGAACUUCCAGGUACACAGGGACUGCGAUCCCAUGCCCUUUGCAGUCAGGCAUCGCCUACAGGUGACCAGAGGUGGCCACUGAAACCAGCAGGAACAACAUGUGUCAGUUACAGUCCCAACAACAGGUGUGAUACUCUAGUGUGCGCUCUCCCACUGUAACGCCGACCAAGCGGGCCUGUGUUUGAGAUCCUGCAGCCAGGGAGGAGCAGAGACCCUGAGCCAGGAUGGCAGUCCCCGCAGGAGGGAGAGUCUCCUGGCCUGCAGAGGCUUUGGUGUGAGCGAGGAGUGAAGCUUUGUGGCGACGGGUGGGGCAGCCCCUUGGCGUCUGCUGCGCCCUGCGGGGCUGGGAGGGAAGGCUUCGCUCUCUUCUCGGUGGCUUUCUUUACACUCUGCCCGCUUCUUAGCGGCCAAACCACUGCAGGGUGUCCCGCUUCUCUUUUGUUUUCCCUGUCCUAAGCGGGCGCAGCAGCUGUGGGGAGGGGCGCAGCUGUGGGAACUGAAGCGGGAAACGGCUGCUCCUCUUCCCUUCCGAGUUCCUCUUCUCCCAGGUGUUAGAAGAGCCAGCACAUCUCAGCCGUUGGCUGGUAAGUAUUGAUGCUCAUUAAACUAGUAAAAAUACAGACAGAACCUACUGAAGUCAUCUUCAAUUUUAUAUUCAUAUUGAUCCAAGAGAUGAGAAAAUUUUGUCAGGUUUGUUUUAUUUGAGCUUACUCCAUUUAAUAAAUCUUAAAGAUUUUUGUUCCCUCCUAGUAACUAAAUUGCAUUUCUUUAUUUCUGCUACAAAAUCCUGGCUCCACAUUUCUGACCUGGGGAAAAAAAAUCUAACUGAGAAUCAAAGGACAGGGGGUGUUCUGAACUCCAGCGUAAUUCAUUACGUCUUCUCUCAGGUUUGGAAACCCAGGACCGACCGCGGUGAUGAGCACGAGUCCCUGAAGGGUUUCGAUGAACCUCUUUUAUGCUGAAUUGGAGACAUAAAUGCACAUCUCUGUGUACCGUCCUCGUUUACUAAAUUUCAUCUUUGGAAAUUCAAUCCUGACUCUUGAGGAUAAAUUCCAGAUGAAAAUUGUAAUAUUGAUAUUAAGUUAAAACACAGGUCUUGGCCAAACUCUACCCAUAGCUGUGCUCAAACAGCCUUCCUGGCUUUCACAGGAAACCGGCACGUGUGUGGACGAGAUUGGGAUCUGAGUGAUGGUCAAGUACAGAACAGGAAGUCGCUUAGUCCGUUAAUGAAUUCUCAAAUUACUAACUGCAAGCAUCUUUUUGCCUGCGGCUGCCAGUUGAGACUAAGAAAGCCCAAAGGGACUCUGAAAUCUGUGAAAUGAAGCACCUAACCCCUUAGGCUGGAUGAGAGUCAAGGUACAAUAAUAGAGUAUGUCUCGACCUCUGUCCACUCUCAGAGAGUUUGCCAAGAUUAGAACUUGUCUGAAGUCUCUAAAGGCAGGAUUGUCUAGCUUGUCUCAACAGGAAGAAGUGGUCUUGAAACUGUGACCUUCGGAGGCAGUUGAGACUGGGGGAGGAGAGGAAAAUAGAAGGUUCUUAUAAAUGCAGCUGUUCAUAUCCCUCCUCUUAGAUCUCCUUACACAGAUGGCUAUCCAUGGAAUUGUUUCUCCCACUGGCUUAUUUUUUGGUGUCGUAGACUGAAAUAUUUGUUGAAAAACUUAUUAGCAACAAGCUUCCAAUGAGCCUUUCUUUGAAUGUUUAAAUAAUAGUCUCAAGGAAAAUUCUUGAUUAAGAGCAGUCCACACCGAAAUUUCAUAAGAUUCAAAAAGAUUCCAUUGACCUAUUCCAUUGGGCGUUACUACUGGAUUGGAAUAGCACAUUUACAGUAAAUGUGCCAGUUAAGAUAUGGCAAGUUAUGCUUGGUAACAAACAGAUCUAAAAUUGUAGGGGUUUAAAACAUUUGCUCACAUUACAUGUGCAUUUUAGGUUUGGUUUUGGUUUUUCAUUGUCUUCCAUCAG